UAGCACUAGGUGUGUUUAUUUUACUGAGUGUUGCUGCGUGUGUGACCGCUGGGGGUUACGGUGGACACGGGAUUGGUGGUCAUUUAGGGUAUGGGGGUUAUCAACAGUACGUCCAGUACCAGAAACCAAUCUACUACCAACAGCAGCCGGUGUAUGCCGGUGGUUACGGAUCAGACACUGGAUCCAUCAUACCAAUCAUUAUCAUUUUUGUCUUACUUGCUAUCUUUGCUCCACUGUUGAUUGCUUCCUUGACGUUCAGCAAUGAUGCCUUUUAUGAUAGCGUCAGUAAAUAAGAGGAAUAAGAUAUAUUGGGAAAGAGAUACAAACUGAGUAAACAUUGACGUACUCUAUAAAUAAACGACAGCAAUCCUAUUGUGUUUUCUUUAUUCUGUGCUUUGACACAACAUA
This is a long non-coding RNA of Saccostrea cuccullata (small rock oyster), 408 nucleotides long. RefSeq lists it as uncharacterized. NCBI's taxonomy places the organism in Eukaryota, Metazoa, Mollusca, Bivalvia, Ostreida, Ostreidae. The record is from RefSeq and is a predicted model, not a curated record. The transcript has 3 exons.